RNAcentral lists this ribosomal RNA (603 nucleotides) under Leucosporidium intermedium. RNAcentral describes it as "LSU rRNA". It matches the Rfam family "Eukaryotic large subunit ribosomal RNA", at positions 48 to 648 of the family's 3401-position model. The record is from RNAcentral. Lineage: Eukaryota; Fungi; Basidiomycota; Microbotryomycetes; Leucosporidiales; Leucosporidiaceae.
AGGCGGGAGGAAAAGAAACUAACAAGGAUUCCCCUAGYAACGGCGAGUGAAGCGGGAAGAGCUCAAAUUUGUAAUCUGGCACUUUCAGUGUCCGAGUUGUAAUCUCGAGAAGUAUUUUCCGCGCCGGACCGCAUACAAGUCUGUUGGAAUACAGCGUCAUAGUGGUGAGAGCCCAGUAACUGAUGCGGAUGCCCGGUGCUUUGUGAUAUACUUUCGAAGAGUCGAGUUGUUUGGGAAUGCAGCUCAAAUUGGGUGGUAAAUUCCAUCUAAAGCUAAAUAUUGGCGAGAGACCGAUAGCGAACAAGUACCGUGAGGGAAAGAUGAAAAGCACUUUGGAAAGAGAGUUAACAGUACGUGAAAUUGUUGGAAGGGAAACACUUGACGUCAGACUUGCGUUUCGGAGUUCAGCCGCAAGGUGUAUUCUUCGAUUUGCAGGCCAGCAUCAGUUUUCGGGGGUGGAAAAUCGUGGUUUGAAGGUAGCAGUUUCGGCUGUGUUAUAGCUUUCCACUGGAUUCAUCUUUGGGGACUGAGGAACGCAGUACGCUUUUUGCAAGGCUCUCGAGCUUUUCCUACUUAGGAUGCUGGUGGAGUGGCGUGGAUGAC